Molecule: ribosomal RNA, 520 nt
Filed under: uncultured bacterium
Lineage: Bacteria
Description: bacterial SSU rRNA
Rfam family: Archaeal small subunit ribosomal RNA
Source: RNAcentral
AACCUCCGCAAUGUGAGAAAUCGCGACGGGGGGAUCCCAAGUGCCAUUCUUAACGGGAUGGCUUUUCAUUAGUGUAAAAAGCUUUUGGAAUAAGAGCUGGGCAAGACCGGUGCCAGCCGCCGCGGUAACACCGGCAGCUCUAGUGGUAGCAAUUUUUAUUGGGCCUAAAGCGUCCGUAGCCGGUUUAAUAAGUCUCUGGUGAAAUCCUGUAGCUUAACUGUGGGAAUUGCUGGAGAUACUAUUAGACUUGAGACCGGGAGAGGUUAGAGGUACUCCCAGGGUAGAGGUGAAAUUCUGUAAUCCUGGGAGGACCGCCUGUUGCGAAGGCGUCUAACUGGAACGGUUCUGACGGUGAGGGACGAAAGUUAGGGGCGCGAACCGGAUUAGAUACCCGGGUAGUCCUAACUGUAAACGAUGCGGACUUGGUGUUGGGGUGGCUUUGAGCUGCUCCAGUGCCGAAGGGAAGCUGUUAAGUCCGCCGCCUGGAAGUACGGUCGCAAGACUGAAACUUAAAGGAAUU